Molecule: long non-coding RNA, 2565 nt
Organism: Wyeomyia smithii (pitcher-plant mosquito)
Lineage: Eukaryota; Metazoa; Arthropoda; Insecta; Diptera; Culicidae
Exons: 4
Source: RefSeq, a predicted model, not a curated record
UUCCCAUGCUGGCUGGUCGGUUAUAACUUGCAGUUGCAGCGGCCAUCAGUUCAACGCUACCAAUCGGCAAUAAUUCAGUAUUUUAUUUUUCGCGCGAAUGAGGUCUUUUAUUGUCGGAUUGUAAAUCCGAGUGAGUAAAUUUCGAAAGAGCGAACGAGGAAACAAAUUCAAAACCAUACGGAGCAUAAAUUAAGCCCUUACUUCCGGUUUCGAAAUCAUUGUAUCUCCUGCUGACCGCUGCAGAUGCGGUGGGGGCCGCCACCCAAUCACGCAAACAGUUGAAUACAUACAGCAGAAUUAAGAUAAUUCCGUGUUUGGCACUCCAUAAAAAGCGUCAAAAUGAUGGACCAUAGAAUUAUCUCCAAGUACAGCGACGUGCGGGUGAAAAUAUCCGGCUGGGACGAACGGGUGCAGCAGUUUCCGAAGGAUUGUCCCUGCUGUUCCGUUGGGCGAGCUACGUAUCGCACCUUCGGCUAUACUACAAAGCACUUCAUUCCAAAAACAACAACACAGGCAAUGCACGAUGAUGUCUGGAAGCAUUGGUACCGGGCGAACAGAUGCCAGCAUAACAAUUGGGGUGAUUUCACAACCUACCGCACUACAUAUCAACAGGCUUUCGGAAAUCGACCAUCCUCAAUGUGCUACUAGGUCAGAACGUGCCAUAGUCAAACCCACCUACUAUAGAGAUCUUGGGGAUAGAAGAAAGAUCAUUGACUGAAGUUCGACCAAAUGCACCACGUAUGAAAUUCACACGAACACCUCUUCAAGGCGAACGUAAUCGCGCGGCAAACCAUUCAACUCACCAACCUCGACCAACCGAAAAAAAACGCAGCACGGAUCGGAGGUUUUGUCUUGGAUCGGACGGUCUCACGAAAAAGCGAGCUUUGCCGCUAAAUCUAGAGAUGAUGACUAUAUACGAUGGCGGGACACGACCGGACUGGCUGUAGCAACCGUGCACCAGCGGAGAGCUUGUUCCGGGUUGAAGUGAAUUUAUCGGUGGGAUUAGGCUGCCGAAAACGAUGAAACCAAGCGCCAAGUUCCUAAAUCCCGAAUAAAACCAAAUUGAGUAGAGUGAUUCCUUAGACUUUGUCCGAGGGUUAAUGAAUCGGUUCCGUUGGGAUUAGACGAACUAAAUUAGAAAGUAUCGGAGCAUGAAAUUGUCCGUGGUACGUAAAGGUUUUCGUAUCGCUUGCUCAUAGCGCUAUUUGUCCUCUACAAUCCCACUGAAUCAAUCUAUUGAAGUAAUUAAAUUGUUCGUAGCAUCCCAACAUGUUAGCGCUGGAAGGAAAGCGUUUAUCGCUGCAGGUGAAAAAUAAUAAGGAGCCUUUUUGCCGGAUCGCUAAAGCGACUGUCCGUAAUUGCACUUCGUGAUUAAUCAGAGAUUCGAAAAUCGCAGCAUAGACCAACUAAAAACCACCCGAGAGGAGCGUGACAUUCGCAUUGCGCUUCCUUCAGAGCUCUUUUAAUUUGUUAAUCGUUUCUUGUUUCUCAAUUUUCUUCGCUUAGUAGGAAAAUAUUAAUGAUAAUCUUGUACGUUUUGUCUAUCGAUGUUAUAUUGAUUAUUGCAGGUCAUUCUGUUAUAUGAAAGUUUAUAGGCUUUAGAGUUUGCCAUUCGCAACAACACAUGUUUAUUGGCGUGUAAACCAUUAAAGUGAAGAAGAACGUAGUUCUACGUCAACAUGGUUUGAAACAACAAAGCCUAUUAUCUUCACAUUUCAAACUGUGUUGAAGCCACAAAUAGCCGACUUCGAGCCACGUUGUGAUCGACUUCGAAAUUCCGGAGGCACAAGUCUCAAUAGAUCAUUGAACACGAAAAAUAACCUCACUUUUCUGACACUUCUCACGGAUUUGUUUAUAAGGUGUUUCCAUUCAUUGUUUAGUGAUAGGAGUGAAAAUGAAUGAUACGAGUACGAAAAAGAUGGGAAAACUCUCCGCCUAUGUGAAUUCGUUACUGUAGUCUUUUGGUUUAUUCAUGGAAACGUCAUUUUUAACAAGACACUUCCGCAUUUUUAAUUGGAGCCGAAAUUUUUACUAUGUAAACAAACCCGCGACAACUGUCAAAUCUCUUUCUUCUUUUUUUUGUGACGUCAUCGUGGAAUGAUCUAUAACAGUUAAUGCGUCCCCUGUGAAAACGAUACUUUAUGUUUGCUGCAGUGAAGCAUAGAAAAAUGUAUGUAUCUCAAAAGUUUAAAUCUCUGCGAGAAUGUUGUCUGUCAGCGAGAUAGAAUAACAUAUGAAGUUGUACACAUCGUAGGUUGCUAUCCAAUCACCUUAGAAAAAAAUACAAUAAUAAUGAUUACCUAUCAAACAUAUCAACUAUUGUCACCAGAAAGAAGCUUGGGAUCAUGAUGUAUAAAGACAUGGUGUAACGGUAUGUCAAAAGCAAAAUCGGCCAUAUUGGAAAACAAAAAUUGCCAGCGAGUAGGUUUGUUUAUAAACAACUAGGGCAUAAAAAUUAUCGCAUCUCAUAAUAUAUGCAUUUAAGGGGUAAUAUCUACCAAAAAAAAUUUUUUUUCGCCAUUUUUUUUAUUGGCCUAAAUCAAGCUAAAACUAUCCAAGAAUCAA